GAUGAAGAACGUAGCGAAAUGCGAUACGUAAUGUGAAUUGCAGAAUUCAGUGAAUCAUCGAAUCUUUGAACGCAUAUUGCGCUCUCUGGUAUUCCGGAGAGCAUGCUUGUUUGAGUAUCAGUAAACACCUCAACUUCCAUAUCUUUUUUGAAAUGGGAGUUGGACUUGAGAGAUCCCAACGCUUUUCCUCACCGAAAAGUGGCGGGUUACUUGAAAUGCAGGUGCAGCUGGACUUUUCUCUGAGCUAUAAGCAUAUCUAUUUAGUCUGCCUAAAAAACAGAUUAUUACCUUUGCUGCAGCUAACAUAAAGGAGAUUAGUUCUUGUGCUGACUGAUGCAGGAUUCACAAAGACAGGCUUCGGCCGACUUUGUAAACUCGAUCUCAAAUCAAGUAAGACUACCCGCUGAACUUAAGCAUAUCAAUAAGCGGAGGA
Molecule: unclassified non-coding RNA, 433 nt
Filed under: soil metagenome
Description: partial contains 5.8S ribosomal RNA, internal transcribed spacer 2, and large subunit ribosomal RNA
Rfam family: 5.8S ribosomal RNA (bases 1-120)
Source: RNAcentral